RNAcentral lists this ribosomal RNA (448 nucleotides) under uncultured bacterium. Its description in RNAcentral is "bacterial SSU rRNA". It matches the Rfam family "Bacterial small subunit ribosomal RNA", at positions 328 to 792 of the family's 1533-position model. The record is from RNAcentral.
GAGCCAGACUCCUACGGGAGGCAGCAGUGGGGAAUAUUGGGCAAUGGACGCAAGUCUGACCCAGCAACGCCGCGUGAAGGAAGAAGGCUUUCGGGUUGUAAACUUCUUUUAAGGGGGAAGAGCAGAAGACGGUACCCCUUGAAUAAGCCACGGCUAACUACGUGCCAGCAGCCGCGGUAAUACGUAGGUGGCAAGCGUUGUCCGGAUUUAUUGGGUUUAAAGGGUGCGUAGGCGGGACGUUAAGUCAGCGGUAAAAAGGCGGAGCUCAACUCCGUCGAGCCGUUGAAACUGCCGUUCUUGAGUGAGCGAGAAGUAUGCGGAAUGCGUGGUGUAGCGGUGAAAUGCAUAGAUAUCACGCAGAACUCCGAUUGCGAAGGCAGCAUACCGGCGCUCAACUGACGCUGAAGCACGAAGGCGUGGGUAUCGAACAGGAUUAGAUACCCCAGUA